Molecule: ribosomal RNA, 253 nt
Filed under: uncultured bacterium
Lineage: Bacteria
Description: partial 16S ribosomal RNA
Rfam family: Bacterial small subunit ribosomal RNA
Source: RNAcentral
UACGUAGGGGGCGAGCGUUAUCCGGAUUUACUGGGUAUAAAGGGGGCGCAGACGGCGAUGCAAGCCAGGAGUGAAAGCCCGGGGCCCAACCCCGGGACUGCUCUUGGAACUGCGUGGCUGGAGUGCAGGAGGGGCAGGCGGAAUUCCUGGUGUAGCGGUGAAAUGCGUAGAUAUCAGGAGGAACACCGGUGGCGAAGGCGGCCUGCUGGACUGCAACUGACGUUGAGGCCCGAAAGCGUGGGGAGCAAACAGG